GCAGGGGUGGCGGAAUUGGCAGACGCGCUGGAUUUAGGUUCCAGUGGGGUAACCCGUGCGGGUUCAAGUCCCGCCCCCUGCACCA
This 85-nucleotide transfer RNA is filed under the name Planctomycetota bacterium. RNAcentral's name for it is "tRNA-Leu". It matches the Rfam family "tRNA". Rfam says of the family: Transfer RNA (tRNA) molecules are approximately 80 nucleotides in length. Their secondary structure includes four short double-helical elements and three loops (D, anti-codon, and T loops). The record is from RNAcentral. Lineage: Bacteria; Pseudomonadati; Planctomycetota.